This 456-nucleotide ribosomal RNA is filed under the name Shigella sonnei. Its description in RNAcentral is "bacterial SSU rRNA". It matches the Rfam family "Bacterial small subunit ribosomal RNA", at positions 1052 to 1503 of the family's 1533-position model. Lineage: Bacteria; Pseudomonadati; Pseudomonadota; Gammaproteobacteria; Enterobacterales; Enterobacteriaceae. The record is from RNAcentral.
UCGUCAGCUCGUGUCGUGAGAUGUUGGGUUAAGUCCCGCAACGAGCGCAACCCUCGUUCUAUGUUGCCAGCACGUGAUGGUGGGGACUCAUAGGAGACUGCCGGGGUCAACUCGGAGGAAGGUGGGGAUGACGUCAAAUCAUCAUGCCCCUUAUGUCUUGGGCUUCACGCAUGCUACAAUGGCCGGUACAAAGGGUUGCGAUACUGUGAGGUGGAGCUAAUCCCAAAAAGCCGGUCUCAGUUCGGAUUGAGGUCUGCAACUCGACCUCAUGAAGUCGGAGUCGCUAGUAAUCGCAGAUCAGCAACGCUGCGGUGAAUACGUUCCCGGGCCUUGUACACACCGCCCGUCAAGUCACGAAAGUUGGUAACACCCGAAGCCGGUGGCCUAACCCCUUGUGGGAGGGAGCCGUCGAAGGUGGGACUGGCGAUUGGGACUAAGUCGUAACAAGGUAGCCGU